RNAcentral lists this ribosomal RNA (580 nucleotides) under uncultured Alphaproteobacteria bacterium. RNAcentral describes it as "bacterial SSU rRNA". It matches the Rfam family "Bacterial small subunit ribosomal RNA", at positions 45 to 673 of the family's 1533-position model. The record is from RNAcentral. Lineage: Bacteria; Pseudomonadati; Pseudomonadota; Alphaproteobacteria.
GGCCUCAUACAUGCAAGUCGAGCGGUCCUUCGGGACAGCGGCGAACGGGUUAGUAACGCGUGGGAACGUGCCCUUUAGUACGGAAUAGCCAUUGGAAACGAUGAUUAAUACCGUAUACGCCCCAAGGGGGAAAGAUUUAUCGCUAAAGGAUCGGCCCGCGUUAGAUUAGGUAGUUGGUAGGGUAAUGGCCUACCAAGCCGACGAUCUAUAGCUGGUUUGAGAGGAUGAUCAGCAACACUGGGACUGAGACACGGCCCAGACUCCUACGGGAGGCAGCAGUGGGGAAUAUUGGACAAUGGGGGCAACCCUGAUCCAGCAAUGCCGCGUGUGUGAUGAAGGCCUUAGGGUUGUAAAGCACUUUCACUGGUGAAGAUUAUGACGGUAACCAGAGAAGAAGCCCCGGCUAACUUCGUGCCAGCAGCCGCGGUAAUACGAAGGGGGCGAGCGUUGUUCGGAAUUACUGGGCGUAAAGGGAGCGCAGGCGGUUCAUUUAGUCAGACGUGAAAGCCCCGGGCUCAACCCGGGAGGUGCGUUUGAUACUGGUGAGCUAGAAAUCAGAAGAGGAUAGUGGAAUUUCCAG